AUGCGGCGCGGUCCAGGCCCGUCGCGGCCUCGUCCUGUCAGGAACACCUGCGGGCCUCAUGGUCCGACGCCUCCGGUCCCGCGCCGGCCUCGGUUUCCCCAUGCAGCGGGGCGGGGCGGGGGGCAGCGCGGGUCUCAAAGCUGCCUGCAGGGGGCGCCCGUGAGCGACGCGGCCGGAGCGGGAGCCCGAGCGGCCGCCGAGACAGCGGGAGCAGGCUCGCGAGCCGCAGGUCAGCCGGGGUGCAGGGUCCCGGGUGCCGGGGUGCGGAGUCCUGGGUGCCGGGGGUCCGGGGCUGGCGGCCGGGCGGCUUGGGGCCGUCGGAGGUGCGCGGCCAGGAGGGCUGGGAGGCUGGGGUUCCCUCCCCUCAGGGUUCCUUUCCUGCCGCCCCAAGACCAGUUCCCCGGCGCGGGUCCGAGUUCUGCCCCGCGGCGGCGCCGGCACGACCUGUGCAGGGCCAGGCACACUCACGUCCCGGGCACAGUCCCGGCGCCGCGUGCGGACCCCGCGAGCCGCCUCAAACUGCACCGGAAGGCGCGCGGGGUAGGCGGGGAGCGAAGGCAAGUGCGGCGGCCGACGCGGCGCGGGGUGCGGAGCCGCAGGUGGCGGGCAGGGAGCGUCCGUCCGUCCGUCCGUCCGGGCGCCACGGACCGGCCCCGCGCGCUCGCACGACCCUUCCGGGAGUUCCUCCAGCGGGGAUGGGCUGGGGGGCGCAGCGGCGCGUCCCGAGGGCGGGCAGCCGGGGCGAAGAAGGAUCCCCAGGUGGAGGGGCCGGGCCGAGGCCGGUUCCCCGGGGAAGGUGCGGCGCAGGCAGAGGCACCCGAGCGCCCGGGCGAGCCGAGGAAGGGGCAGUCUGGAACGCUAGGCAGAGCGCGGGCGCGUCCCGUGGACAGUGGUGACGGGAACUGGGUUUGGGGGACGCAGGCGAGGACGGGGGACGGGAGGGGUGGGUGCGUGCCUCGGACUGGCCCUGGCCGUCUACAUGGCUGCCCGGAGCGGAGGUAG
RNAcentral lists this long non-coding RNA (1002 nucleotides) under Callithrix jacchus (white-tufted-ear marmoset). RNAcentral's name for it is "lncRNA (ENSCJAG00000061839.2)". Lineage: Eukaryota; Metazoa; Chordata; Mammalia; Primates; Cebidae. The record is from RNAcentral.